GGGAAGAGUUGCGGAAUGUAUUCUUGGUUCAGAGCAUUUUCCCUCGGGCUCUUUCUGGGCAACAAGCCUUUUAGGAAUGUUUGUUAAAUGCUGAAAAAACGGGAGUUUAUUUCUCUCCACUUCCACAGCCAACAUGUGAGGCUGUCUGUGCUAACCUGGGUUUUCUGUCUUUUUGCUCCACAGUGAGUGACCUGCAGGAAGAAGGCAAGAAUGCCAUCAACUCGCCGAUGUCCCCUGCCUUGGUGGACGUUCGCCCUGAAGACACCCAGCUAGAGGAGAACGAGGAGCGCACGAUGAUCGACCCCACCUCCAAGGAUGACCCCAAAUUCAAGGAGCUGGUCAAGUUUCUCCACCUUCGCGGCUGCGCUGAACCCGGCGCCGUGCUGACCAGCUGCGUUUCUCCCGGGCUCAUUCAGGAUAAGUAGCUGUUUGCAAGCUGUAUCCUUUUAAAACAUAAAUUGAAAAUGUCAGUUUUAGGGCCCCCUCAAAGAUGUUGGUUCUUAACGACGUAAAUCACCUAGUUUAUUUUAUUAAGAUUUUUC
RNAcentral lists this long non-coding RNA (542 nucleotides) under Microcebus murinus (gray mouse lemur). Its description in RNAcentral is "lncRNA (ENSMICG00000048179.1)". Lineage: Eukaryota; Metazoa; Chordata; Mammalia; Primates; Cheirogaleidae. The record is from RNAcentral.